This 281-nucleotide unclassified non-coding RNA is filed under the name Hevea brasiliensis (rubber tree). Lineage: Eukaryota; Viridiplantae; Streptophyta; Magnoliopsida; Malpighiales; Euphorbiaceae. The record is from RNAcentral.
GCAAUGAUGCGCAUUGCCCAUUUCACAAACUGGGCUACACCAACGUCCACACUUCCAUCUUUUGAGAUCACAAAUUUCCUCACUAUCCAGUAACCUAAAGCAGCUCCUGCGAGAACAAUCCCCACUAACACAAAUACAUAGACUGGAUUGUGCAUCUCUUCACUCAGCCCAAAGUUGAUGAGAAUGGAAUUUACCAGCACCGAAAUGUGAUGUAAAACAAAAGUGCCAGCUCCAAGCACUGAUCCAUAUAUGGAAAGAUAGAAGAAAUUUUUCCUUCCAGU